GAUGAAGAACGUAGCGAAAUGCGAUACUUGGUGUGAAUUGCAGAAUCCCGCGAAUCAUCGAGUUUUUGAACGCAAGUUGCGCCCGAAGCCAUUCGGCCGAGGGCACGUCUGCCUGGGUGUCACGCAUCGUUGCCCCCCCAAACUCCGGUUCGGGCGGGGCGGAAGUUGGCCUCCCGUGCGUGCCUGCGCGCGCGGUUAGCCCAAAAGCGAGUCCUCGGCGACGAGCGCCACGACAAUCGGUGGUUUUUUUACCCUCGUUCCUCGUCGUGCGUGUCCCGUCGCCCGAACGCGCUCUUGCGACCCUCGCGCGUCGCCUCGGCGGCGCUCCCAACGCGACCCCAGGUCAGGCGGGACUACCCGCUGAGUUUAAGCAUAUCAAUAAGCGGAGGA
This 390-nucleotide unclassified non-coding RNA is filed under the name soil metagenome. Its description in RNAcentral is "partial contains 5.8S ribosomal RNA, internal transcribed spacer 2, and large subunit ribosomal RNA". The stretch from base 1 to 122 matches the Rfam family "5.8S ribosomal RNA", at positions 35 to 154 of the family's 154-position model. The record is from RNAcentral.